GGCUUAGAGUUUGAUCAUGGCUCAGGAUGAACGCUAGCGGCAGGCUUAACACAUGCAAGUCGAGGGGCAGCAUAAUGGUAGCAAUACUAUUGAUGGCGACCGGCGGACGGGUGCGUAACGCGUAUGCAACCUACCCUUUACAGGGGGAUAACACUGAGAAAUCGGUACUAAUACCCCAUAAUAUUCUGGGAGGCAUCUUUCGGAGUUGAAAGCUUUGGUGGUAAAGGAUGGGCAUGCGUUGUAUUAGCUAGUUGGUAAGGUAACGGCUUACCAAGGCGACGAUACAUAGGGGGACUGAGAGGUUAACCCCCCACAUUGGUACUGAGACACGGACCAAACUCCUACGGGAGGCAGCAGUGAGGAAUAUUGGUCAAUGGACGGAAGUCUGAACCAGCCAUGCCGCGUGCAGGAAGACGGCUCUAUGAGUUGUAAACUGCUUUUGUACGAGGGUAAACGCAGAUACGUGUAUCUGCCUGAAAGUAUCGUACGAAUAAGGAUCGGCUAACUCCGUGCCAGCAGCCGCGGUAAUACGGAGGAUCCAAGCGUUAUCCGGAUUUAUUGGGUUUAAAGGGUGCGUAGGCGGUUUAGUAAGUCAGCGGUGAAAUUUUGGUGCUUAACAACAAACGUGCCGUUGAUACUGCUGGGCUAGAGAGUAGUUGCGGUAGGCGGAAUGUAUGGUGUAGCGGUGAAAUGCUUAGAGAUCAUACAGAACACCGAUUGCGAAGGCAGCUUACCAAACUAUAUCUGACGUUGAGGCACGAAAGCGUGGGGAGCAAACAGGAUUAGAUACCCUGGUAGUCCACGCAGUAAACGAUGAUAGCUCGUUGUCGGCGAUACACAGUCGGUGACUAAGAGAAUCGAUAAGCUAU
This 869-nucleotide ribosomal RNA is filed under the name uncultured organism. Its description in RNAcentral is "bacterial SSU rRNA". It matches the Rfam family "Bacterial small subunit ribosomal RNA", at positions 1 to 868 of the family's 1533-position model. The record is from RNAcentral.